Molecule: non-coding RNA, 30 nt
Filed under: Mus musculus (house mouse)
Lineage: Eukaryota; Metazoa; Chordata; Mammalia; Rodentia; Muridae
Source: RNAcentral
UAACACAGGGAAGCCUGUACGUGUUCUGGU